UCCUCGGCUCUUUUAAGAGCCACUAAGCAUGCAGUAAUUUGUCAU
This is a non-coding RNA of Felis catus (domestic cat), 45 nucleotides long. Lineage: Eukaryota; Metazoa; Chordata; Mammalia; Carnivora; Felidae. The record is from Rfam.